Molecule: long non-coding RNA, 2451 nt
Organism: Chelonia mydas (Green sea turtle)
Lineage: Eukaryota; Metazoa; Chordata; Testudines; Cheloniidae
Exons: 2
Source: RefSeq, a predicted model, not a curated record
AGCACACUUCCACUUUGUGUGCCAAGGUCAUUUAAUGAAAAUGUUAAAUAAGCUUGGUCCUAAGACCAGUCCCUGAGGAACUCCACCAGUAACCUCUCCCCAGCCUGAUACUAAAUCUUCUCACAAUAUAUAAACUUCAUUAAAAGGUUCCCAGAUGCCAAAACAAUGCAGAUGGUCCAGUGGGAGGGAAGUAGAAGAGAGGACUGCAGGAGUCCUAAAGAAGCACUGGAGAGCCCUGGUGGGAUGGGGAGGGGGCAUCAUGGCAGAAGUGGAGGGGCCAACAGGAGGGCUAUGGAGAAUCAGCAGAGAAUCUUGCAACAACAGGAGAGGCUGUUGAAGGAGCAGACUGCAGCUGCCUACUAGUCUGUGUAAAAGCUGCAGUCAUGUGUUUUUAAGUGCAUGACUGAGGCUGAGUCAAAGCUCACACUUGACUGUACACAACGAUAUGGAGCAAACCCCAUCUGGAGCUGCUGGCUGAGAGUCUCUUCCAAAGCUUGUACUGCUCUGCUCAGAAAGAACGAUUUGGCUCAGAUUGCUAGAAACCGGGCCCUGGUUCCGUCAAAUGCUCCACAAACCUUACAGAGCUGUUCAGCACACGGACUCGAGCAGAGACAGGGGCCACUGCUACAUGCUAAUAUCGAUACUGUAGAUGGCUUUGAAUUUGGAAUGAAUCCUCAAGCAUAGUGAAUUUUGGCUUCCUGGUGAAGGUUUUGCCUAGCUGUAAUAUCAGUACCCUGAUCUGUUCUAUAAAAGGUUUAAAAUCUUAGGCUAGUCUGAGUCCAGAGAAAGAUUGUUCUUACUCUAAACCUCUUUGUUUUGCUUGUUACUAAUGGGGACUCCUAAAUUUUAGAUUUGAUUUCUAAAAUGGUCAAACUGAUUUGACAAUGAUCUCCUGCUGGACUGCAAACACUGCGCUCUGGAGUGCAUCGACCCCAGUGUGCAAUUGUGAAGCUGUGUUCUAUUUAGGCAUCUUUCACUUGUAAUACUAGAGGUGAGGUAAACACGAGAACACCCCUUUUCCUUCCAAGGCAGGGUGAGAAGUGUCGUAUCAAGGAUGAUGGGGCUGGUUCCUCAGCAAUUCAAAUGGUAAAUGUUCCUAACCUUCCUCUGCCACCCUGCAGAGAACAGGGAAAUCUUGUUUAUCCAUGAAUGCUUUUAUUUUUGUUUAAAGUUGCAGUUUAUGCAAUGGAUUGCCUCCCUCUCGAGCUCCCUGGAGUGAGGCCCUGGCGUUCAAUUUCCCACCUCCCACAUAGCUCUUAUUUUCCCUUGUACUCUCCUCCUGCUGCUCUGACUACUUGGCAAUAGGGUAGCAUCCUAGGAUAAAUUUGCACCAGUAUUCAGAAGUAUGUUCCAUUUUCACACACCGUUAUAAGUGCAUGCCAUUACUAUAUACUAGGGGCUGGGAGUAAAUUUUCUACUGAAAUGUUAUCUCAGUGGGAAAUGACUUUUUGAUGAUUCCCCUUUGAAUCAAAAAUAUUCAGGUUUUCAAAAACCUAGAGAUUCUGAAGAAAAUUUGUGAUGAAAAUGAACAAUCAUUUCCAUCUACAUGUUUGGUAGGGGAAAAAUAAUUUCCUGAUCAGCUUUGCAGUAUACCAUUUAUAGAUCCCAAUAUUUUAAGGUCAGAAGGAGCUAUCUAGUUUUGUAUUCUGCAUUACCAGUGCUUCACCCAGUGAUCCCUGCAUUGAUCCUGAUAACUUGCAGUGGAAACAAAGCAUUUGGUCUAGAAAAACAUCCACUCUGGGUGUGUAAGACUUCAAAUGACGGAGAAACUACCAGGAGGAAAACCAGUGAUUCAAACCCACAGCCUUCUGGUGUUGAGGCUGACUUCCUGUCAUUGCACCCAGUGUCCCUCAGGGUACUUAGUGUCUCCCUGGCACAUUUGCCGUAGGUUAUCCCGCUGCCACAUACCAUUUAGAAGUCUAUCUCAGAGCCCAUUACCAAUCCCUAAGUCAUCCAGACAUAGAGAUUGACAUUGCAUUUUUAGUGAACAAUGACGUAAUAGAGAAGUAUUAAAAUCCAUGUGCUGGCUAGUAGUUUAAAUUAGAGGAAAAAAUUGAAGUAGAACUAUUAGUUACAUGACAUAUAAUGUCAAGUGUUUGCCUGACAAAAAAUGUGUUAUCUUUUACAUGGAUCUGAUGCCAUGUUCAUAUAUGAUGUGGGAUGUGAUUGAUAGCUUAUCUCGGGGAAAGUUCUCCCCGCCAAACAUUUUACAGUCCUUAUUUAAUUGCGCUCUUAUUUUUUAUCUUUGGUUAGAUGCAGAUUUUAUGCACACCUGUGAGCUGCCAUAACUAGACCUGCUGUUUUUUAAGUGCCUUUGAAAUGUAAUUGCUUGGUUGGGAUAAUUUAAGCCCUUAAAUUUAUAACCUUUUCCAACCACUCAGGUCCUCAGAUUUAGAAAUAUUCAGAGAGCUUAGAGUUUGGGUUUCUUUGAUUAAAAAGUUGUUUUUAAAA